GGGUCCGUAGCUCAGCUGGGAGAGCGCCUGCCUUGCACGUAGGAGGUCGUCGGUUCGAUCCCGAUCGGAUCCA
Lasius niger is the source of this 73-nucleotide transfer RNA. It matches the Rfam family "tRNA". From Rfam's summary of the family: Transfer RNA (tRNA) molecules are approximately 80 nucleotides in length. Their secondary structure includes four short double-helical elements and three loops (D, anti-codon, and T loops). Further hydrogen bonds mediate the characteristic L-shaped molecular structure. tRNAs have two regions of fundamental functional importance: the anti-codon, which is responsible for specific mRNA codon recognition, and the 3' end, to which the tRNAs corresponding amino acid is attached (by aminoacyl-tRNA synthetases). tRNAs cope with the degeneracy of the genetic code in two manners: having more than one tRNA (with a specific anti-codon) for a particular amino acid; and 'wobble' base-pairing, i.e. permitting non-standard base-pairing at the 3rd anti-codon position. The record is from Rfam. Lineage: Eukaryota; Metazoa; Arthropoda; Insecta; Hymenoptera; Formicidae.